Molecule: long non-coding RNA, 230 nt
Filed under: Elaeis guineensis (African oil palm)
Lineage: Eukaryota; Viridiplantae; Streptophyta; Magnoliopsida; Arecales; Arecaceae
Description: long non-coding RNA (EGUI_LNC082443)
Source: RNAcentral
AGGAGCUUAGGAGACUAAAUGAGAGGUAGAGAGGAAAGAAUUUUAGAAGAAAAAGCAAAGAUUUUGGAGAGAUAAAUCAUCGAUUUGGAGAAGAGGGGUAGAAUCUAGGGCAAGCUCAAACCGCCCAAACGAGGAAGAAAGAGGAGAGGAAGUUGGUUCCUUAAUGGGCGAUUUGAAGGGUGAAGAUUGGUGGGAAGAGGGAUUUUGAGAGAAACCUUCAGUUUGAGAGA